UUUAUGGAGAGUUUGAUCCUGGCUCAGGAUGAACGCUGGCGGCGUGCCUAAUACAUGCAAGUCGAGCGAACGGACGAGAAGCUUGCUUCUCUGAUGUUAGCGGCGGACGGGUGAGUAACACGUGGAUAACCUACCUAUAAGACUGGGAUAACUUCGGGAAACCGGAGCUAAUACCGGAUAAUAUUUUAAACCGCAUGGUUCAAAAGUGAAAGACGGUCUUGCUGUCACUUAUAGAUGGAUCCGCGCUGCAUUAGCUAGUUGGUAAGGUAACGGCUUACCAAGGCAACGAUGCAUAGCCGACCUGAGAGGGUGAUCGGCCACACUGGAACUGAGACACGGUCCAGACUCCUACGGGAGGCAGCAGUAGGGAAUCUUCCGCAAUGGGCGAAAGCCUGACGGAGCAACGCCGCGUGAGUGAUGAAGGUCUUCGGAUCGUAAAACUCUGUUAUUAGGGAAGAACAUAUGUGUAAGUAACUGUGCACAUCUUGACGGUACCUAAUCAGAAAGCCACGGCUAACUACGUGCCAGCAGCCGCGGUAAUACGUAGGUGGCAAGCGUUAUCCGGAAUUAUUGGGCGUAAAGCGCGCGUAGGCGGUUUUUUAAGUCU
RNAcentral lists this ribosomal RNA (607 nucleotides) under Staphylococcus aureus. RNAcentral describes it as "bacterial SSU rRNA". It matches the Rfam family "Bacterial small subunit ribosomal RNA", at positions 1 to 590 of the family's 1533-position model. The record is from RNAcentral. Lineage: Bacteria; Bacillati; Bacillota; Bacilli; Caryophanales; Staphylococcaceae.